CCUACGGGAGGCAGCAGUGGGGAAUAUUGGACAAUGGGGGGAACCCUGAUCCAGCCAUGCCGCGUGUGUGAAGAAGGCCCUCGGGUUGUAAAGCACUUUCAGUGAGGAAGAACGCCUGGUGGUUAAUACCCAUCAGGAAAGACAUCACUCACAGAAGAAGCACCGGCUAACUCCGUGCCAGCAGCCGCGGUAAUACGGAGGGUGCGAGCGUUAAUCGGAAUUACUGGGCGUAAAGCGCGCGUAGGUGGCUUGAUAAGCCGGUUGUGAAAGCCCCGGGCUCAACCUGGGAACGGCAUCCAGAACUGUCAAGCUAGAGUGCAGGAGAGGAAGGUAGAAUUCCCGGUGUAGCGGUGAAAUGCGUAGAGAUCGGGAGGAAUACCAGUGGCGAAGGCGGCCUUCUGGACUGACACUGACACUGAGGUGCGAAAGCGUGGGUAGCAAACAGGAUUAGAUACCCUUGUAGUC
Molecule: ribosomal RNA, 465 nt
Filed under: Vreelandella stevensii
Lineage: Bacteria; Pseudomonadati; Pseudomonadota; Gammaproteobacteria; Oceanospirillales; Halomonadaceae
Description: partial 16S ribosomal RNA
Rfam family: Bacterial small subunit ribosomal RNA
Source: RNAcentral